UAAGGAAUAUUGGACAAUGGGCGCAAGCCUGAUCCAGCAAUGCCGCGUGCAGGAUGAAGGCCUUCGGGUUGUAAACUGCUUUUGUACGGAGCGAAAAGGUCUGCCCUAAUACGGUGGGCUCAUGACGGUACCGUAAGAAUAAGCACCGGCUAACUACGUGCCAGCAGCCGCGGUAAUACGUAGGGUGCGAGCGUUAAUCGGAAUUACUGGGCGUAAAGCGUGCGCAGGCGGUUAUAUAAGACAGAUGUGAAAUCCCCGGGCUCAACCUGGGACCUGCAUUUGUGACUGUAUAGCUAGAGUACGGUAGAGGGGGAUGGAAUUCCGCGUGUAGCAGUGAAAUGCGUUGAUAUGCGGAGGAACACCGAUGGCGAAGGCAAUCCCCUGGACCUGUACUGACGCUCAUGCACGAAAGCGUGGGGAGCAAACA
RNAcentral lists this ribosomal RNA (427 nucleotides) under uncultured bacterium. RNAcentral describes it as "bacterial SSU rRNA". It matches the Rfam family "Bacterial small subunit ribosomal RNA", at positions 355 to 774 of the family's 1533-position model. The record is from RNAcentral.